GAGCUUUGGUUAUAUUUAUUGAAAUUAUUCGUUAUAUAAUCGUAACGAAUACCACUAGAGCAUAGACAAUAUAUUUCGAUUAUGCCAACCUCUUUACUCGACGUAGGUAGUUCGCCACUCGAGCUGCGCUCUCGUGAUGUUUCGCGAACUACCUAUAGUAAUAGUAAAUUUUAUUCGCCAUCAAGAAAGAAUUACAUGGCACGUCAUAUAAACACAUUCAGCAAUAUUACAUAAUGAGAAAAAACAUACUAAUAUAAAUAUAAACAUCAGUUAACACAGUUUAACAAGUUAAAAUUUCAAUCCAUCAACACGCUGAAGACAACACAAGUCAGAACUCGAAUCUCAAAAACUCGUCAACAGAAUAAAAUACGUUCUCCAACAACAAAUUCUUGACAUUUCCUUGAAGAGCUGACCUUGGCAAACUCUUAAUAGAUUGGGAAAGCUUGUUGUACAGUUUAAUGCACCAGUAAUUUACUGCAAUUUGAGUGGAUUUAGCUCUAUGAAAAUUGCUCCUGAACUCAUCUCUGUGUCUGGUGUUGUACGAAUGGCAAUCGCUGACUUGAGUGAACCCAUUUUUGUUUGAGUGAACAAAUUUCAAGCACUCCAGAAUGAAAACGGAGACAAUGGAAAAUCCGAUCAAGACCUGGACUAUGCCCCCAUAUCAGUAUCCCAUAUGUCGCCACAGAGUGAAAGUUGGAAAAAUAAGUCAGCUUACAGACAUUAUCGGUAGAGAUGGCCUUCAUACGCCUCAUAGUAAAAAGGGCUGUCGACAGUUUCCUGACCAUUAAAGGUAAACCAGUCCUCCGCAACUCGCAGGGUCUCAUUACACACACGCUCCAGUUCCUCCCGUGAAGAAGUAAUAUUGAGAAAGGAUGUAUCAUCUGCAUAUAAACUCGUUGCCUCGCACGGAACAUUUCCUGGUAAGUCAUUAAUGUACACAACGAACAACAAAGGACCCAGUAUCGAUCCCUGUGGGACUCCCACAUUUAUCUCUCUAAUUCCAGAGUUCAUACCCUUCCAUGUGACCACCUGCUUUCUAUCAGUUAAGUAUGAUCUGAUGAAUUUCAAAGCUAUACCUCUUACUCCAUAGUACUCCAUCUUCUCAAGCAGUAUUUCCCUGUCAACACAGUCAAAAGCCUUACUGAGAUCUAACGCAAGUAUUUCAGGGUGUAGAUGAUGGUCUAAAGCCUCUGUGACUCCCGCAAUGAGUUCAACUAUUGCUGAAGUAGUGGAUCGCUUCGAUCUAAAACCAUGUUGAGAGUCAGAAAUAUACCUCUCGUGAAUCGGUGCAUAAUCGAAUAUUGUCUAUAUUAUAUCUGAUUA
Molecule: long non-coding RNA, 1323 nt
Organism: Harmonia axyridis
Lineage: Eukaryota; Metazoa; Arthropoda; Insecta; Coleoptera; Coccinellidae
Exons: 3
Source: RefSeq, a predicted model, not a curated record